This 305-nucleotide ribosomal RNA is filed under the name uncultured bacterium. RNAcentral describes it as "partial 16S ribosomal RNA". It matches the Rfam family "Bacterial small subunit ribosomal RNA", at positions 508 to 807 of the family's 1533-position model. The record is from RNAcentral.
ACAGCAGCCGCCGCGGGAAUACGGAGGGUGCAAGCGUUAUCCGGAUUUAUUGGGUUUAAAGGGUCCGUAGGCGGAUCUGUAAGUCAGUGGUGAAAUCUCACAGCUUAACUGUGAAACUGCCAUUGAUACUGCAGGUCUUGAGUAAAUUUGAAGUGGCUGGAAUAAGUAGUGUAGCGGUGAAAUGCAUAGAUAUUACUUAGAACACCAAUUGCGAAGGCAGGUCACUAAGAUUUAACUGACGCUGAUGGACGAAAGCGUGGGGAGCGAACAGGAUUAGAUACCCCCGUAGUCCAUGUCUCUUAUAC